Molecule: transfer RNA, 86 nt
Filed under: Edaphochlamys debaryana
Lineage: Eukaryota; Viridiplantae; Chlorophyta; Chlorophyceae; Chlamydomonadales
Description: tRNA-Tyr
Rfam family: tRNA
About the family: Transfer RNA (tRNA) molecules are approximately 80 nucleotides in length.
Source: RNAcentral
GGGUCGAUGCCCGAGUGGUUAAUGGGGGCGGAUUGUAAAUCCGUUGACUUAGUCUGCGUUGGUUCGAAUCCGACUCGACCCAGUUU